Molecule: long non-coding RNA, 2688 nt
Filed under: Vigna radiata
Lineage: Eukaryota; Viridiplantae; Streptophyta; Magnoliopsida; Fabales; Fabaceae
Description: long non-coding RNA (VRAD_LNC003658)
Source: RNAcentral
GUUAAUUAAACAAAAAGGGUCAUGUAAGAAGUAUUUUUAAUUGUGUAGUAUGUUUGACAUUGACAAAUUUGGAGCAAGUAUACUGUAGAUUAUAGAUCAUUAGUUUUCAACCCGCAUUUGGAUUUUGUUUGUUUAAGAUAAAAACCUGAGCACUUUCCCUUAAUAUAACUGAAUAAAAAGUAGUUCUUUAUUAAUAUUAUACUGAAUGUAGUAGAAUAUUUCAAUUUCAGCUGAUGCUGCACAGCUAAUCUAUUUGUAUAUCUUAUGUGAUUUCAUACUUUCUCUAAAGUAGAGAAUAAUUUUGUUUUCUGUUUAUCUUAAUGUGCCUGUGAGAUUAUAUUACAGCUUUAAAUGGCCUACAUGGUGGUGCUGGCACAAUUACAAGUAUUCAAGUUGCAGAAAUCUAUGGACUUAAUGUACAUGUAGAACAAAUCCAAGUAAAAUAUCUCACCAAUCAUCACUGGCUAGAAAUUGACAAUUAUCUUGUGGUUUAUUUACCUUUGAUUUGAUUUUGAAGUAUUCAUUUCAAAACUAGGUGUCUCCAAUGUUAUAUUAGUUUGAAGGCAAGAAACUAUCGGAGAUUUGCAAAUAACAACUUUAGCUUUUGUGCAAAGCUUUGAAUUUCUGUUAGGUUUCUUGGUGACAAUAAACCCAAUAUUUGCUCUGUUCUUAUGACAGAACACACAACAAACAUACUCACAAUGAAAAAACGUUAGAAAUGAUAAGGGAUGACACCAUCAUUCCUUCGAAGCAGAGCAUGUUUCUCAACGAAAAAGGCACUACAAGAGUGCUGACCCCUUCAGCUUUGUGGUUUCUGUUUUUUAACUUUAUUUCGAAAAUUGGUGGGAGACUCCAAUGAAAUCAUGUUUGGGGUAAGUAAUUUGUAGUAAUAGGUGAUCAUGAAAUAAAUAAAAGAACUUAUUCAGCCUUAUUAGUUUUUCACUAAUUGAAAAAUUGAGACUAGUGAAAUUUUAAUGUUGUUUUUUUCAAGAUAAAAGAUGGGCUCUGCUUUAAAAUUAAUUUAAUCAAGUUCAGAAGAAAAAAUUGGAGAUUAAAGAUUAUGCUGAAUUAUAAAUAUAAUUUUAAAUUAUAUAUUUCAUAUUUUAGCAAUAUAUAAAAUAUAUAGAUAUUUUAUAAUCAAGUAGUAAAUAUUUAGUUAAUAAUAUAUUAUAAGUAUUAAGGGCACAUGGUGCCAAUUCUGAGCAUGAUUUGUUUGUUUACAUUGUCAUCCGCUGGUGGUUUUAUUGGUAUUUGGGUUACUUUGACCAUAUAUAGGUCUUAUAGGACAUUUGUUGGCUUGUUGAGGUAAUAAUGAAUUUCAAGCCUUAUUAUUCCUCAUUAACUAAUGAAUGAAAUAUGUUGAUGCAGACAUUAGAAGUUCUUAAGGAGAUCAGAAUGACCACACAUGCCAUAGUUAAAUAUAUAUGAUUUAUGGAUAUAAUUAGAUCUCUAUUAUUUAGUCAUAUUGUAAUUAUACAAUUUAAUUAUAAUGUAUAUAAAAUAUGGCAUGAUAUUGUCGAUUUUGGUUUGAGUUUUUUUACCUGUGUUUAGUCCACGAUUGAAAACAAACUAUAAGCUCUUGGCUGUUAUAACCACUGCUAAUUUAUAUUGUUAUCUGUUUGAAUGCUUAAAUUUGCUAGUGGUUUUCUUAAGUCCACACUAUCCAAGUUUUGUUUUCUAAGGAGAAUGUGAUUUACCUAAAGUUGGACUUUAUAAAUGUUCAACUCCACUUGGCCACAAGAAACGAGAAAGUUUGAGGUAAAUCCUCAGAAUUCAUGGUUUAAGGAUUAAAAAUUAACGCUAUAUGUUUAUUGAAUAUGCACCUCUUCUUUGUUUCAAUGUAGAUAUACAAUAAAACUUGCUCUAUAUAGUGGAUUCUUAAUUCAUUGUAGGUAAACAUUCUACUUACAUUAAUAUUCCACAAAGUAAUUGUAUGUGUGUGCUUACUCUAUUAUUUUAAGAAAGAAAUUAUUUGUGUGUGCUUACUUUGUUAGUUAAAGUUGUGUACAUGAGAACCUGAAUGAAGAUAAUAUAUAAUAAAUUAUAUCUUUGCUUUAUUAUCAACAUAUGAAGAUUAAUGGUUAUAAUUUUUUUUUAGGUUGCUUCAGAUUCUUGGGGAAAUUUUGUAAGCUUCAUUAGCAUAAUUUUGCUACCAAUUUUAAGAAAUGUUGCAGAACAACAUGGAGUUUUUCAACUUUUGAGUGCUUGGGCAGAUGGUUCUGAAUUUGUAACUCUGUCGAAAAGGAAACACCAUUUUCCUUCCUUUUACCAAGAUGUCCCCCUAUUGAUUGGUACUUUUUUUUCUUUUACCUUUUUAUUUCCUUUAGUUAAUCACUAAGUUAUUCAAACUUUAAUCUGAAAUUCAAAGAUUUCUUUUAAUCUUUUACAUCUUAAAGUUAUUUUUAAAAGAAAAACCCAAAUGAACAAGUAUGUUUAACUUGUGCUUGAAUAGAUGUUGCAGGGGAGUGGUGUAAUGCUAAUGCUCUUGAUGUGAGAACGAUGUAGAAGAAACUGGUCUUGGUCCAGUUGAUUCAGAUGCCUACACCAUUAACGGCUUGCCCAGUGAUUCUUACAAUUGCUCUCAAAAUCGUAAGUCAACUAUUCACCAUAAUUUGGAAAUCAGAUAUAGCUCAUACUAUAUAAUUAAGCAACACAUAUAAUUCGAAUUCUCAUAAUGAAUUAAAAUUU